GGAGCCUGCGGCUUAAUUUGACUCAACACGGGGAAACUCACCAGGUCCAGAGUUGCUGAGGAUUGACAGAUUGAAAGCUCUUUCGUGAGUUGUAACGAUGGUGGUGCAUGGCCGUUCUUAGUUGGUGGAGUGAUUUGUCUGGUUAAUUCCGAUAACGAACGAGACCCUAGCCUGCUAAAUAGCCCGGCCGGCUUUGGCUGGUCGCUGGCUUCUUAGAGGGACUUUUGGCGUAUAGCCAAAGGAAGUGGGGCAAUAACAGGUCUGUGAUGCCCUUAGAUGUUCUGGGCCGCACGCGCGCUACACUGACAGAGCCAGCGAGUAUUUUUUCCUUGGCCGGAAGGCCUGGGUAAUCUUGUGAAACUCUGUCGUGAUGGGGAUAGAACAUUGCAAUUAUUGUUCUUCAACGAGGAAUACCUUGUAAGCCCGAGUCAUCAGCUCGGGUUGAAUACGUCCCUGCCCUUUGUACACACCGCCCGUCGCUACUACCGAUUGAAGGCGUUAGUGAGGUCUUUGGAUUGGGCCGCGGGAGCCGGUGACGGCACCUGUAGUCUGAAAAAUUGAACGAACUUGCGUCUUUAGAGGAAGUAAAAGUCGUAACAAGGUUUCCGUAGGUGAACCUGCGGAAGGAUCAUUAGUGAAAUUGAGGAUCCGGUUUCGAUCGGCCUCUUAUCCUAUUUCAAACACUUGUGCACUGUCAUUUUUUGACGCCAAUUUGUAUUGUAUGUCGGUUGACCAUAAAUAAAGUUUAAACAACUUUCAGCAACGGAUCUCUUGGCUCUCGCAUCGAUGAAGAACGCAGCGAAACGCGAAAUGUAAUGUGAAUUGCAGAAUUAUAGUGAAUCAUCGAAUCUUUGAACGCAUCUUGCGCCCGGUGGUAUUCCGCCGGGCAUGCCUGUCUGAGUGUCAUUACUAUCUCAACCCUAGCGAUGUUGUCAUGACGUUGCUAAGCGGAUUGGAACCUGGACUUGGCGGGGUUCGCCCUGCCGGUCUUAAAUGGAGUAGGCUAGCCGACUAUCAGCGGUUUGACCGGGUGUUGUAGAGUCGCCUCACUCGGGACGCUGAUCGGAUUAGUUGGAUUGUAAUUGUAUUACUCGAGCGAUUUAGACCUCAGAUCAGGUAGGAUUACCCGCUGAACUUAAGCAUAUCAAUAAGCGGAGGAAAAGAAACUAACCAGGAUUCCCCUAGUAACGGCGAGUGAAGAGGGAAGAGCCCAACUUUGUAAUCUGGUACUUUUAGUACCCGAGUUGUAGUCUCGAGAAGUGUGACCCGGUCUGCAGUGGAUUAAGACUGUUCGGAUGCAGUGUCAUAGAGGGUGCCAACCCCGUUGAAUCUAACUUGUAGUACCAUCGUGGUCCACUCUCCAAGAGUCGAGUUGUUUGGGAAUGCAGCUCUAAUUGGGUGGUAAAUUCCAUCUAAGGCUAAAUAACGGCGAGAGACCGAUAGCGAACAAGUACCGUGAGGGAAAGAUGAAAAGCACUUUGGAAAGAGAAUGAAACAGUAUGUGAAAUUGCUGGAAGGGAAACGCUUGAAGUCAGAUACGCGCGGUGCGGCUCAGCCCAACUUCGGUUGGGUGCAUUUCGUACUACUGCGGACCAACAUCGGUUUGGUAACCAUGAACAGGGUUAUGGGAAGGUGGCCACCCUCGGGUGGCGUUAUAGCCCAUAACUGGACGAUGGUGACCAGACCGAGGUAUUCAGUGCACUCUUGUAGCAAUGUCUUCGGACAUUCAUGCACUUAGGAUGUUGGUAUAAUGGCUUUAAACGACCCGUCUUGAAACACGGACCAAGGAGUCUAACAUGCAUGCGAGUGUUUGGGUGGUAAACCCUUGCGCGUAAUGAAAGUGAAUGGAGGUGGGAUCCUUUUGGAGCACCAUCGACCGGUCUGGAUUUUGUAUGAUGGAUCUGAGUAAGAGCAUGUACGUUGGGACCCGAAAGAUGGUGAACUAUGCCUGAAUAGGGUGAAGCCAGAGGAAACUCUGGUGGAGGCUCGUAGCGGUUCUGACGUGCAAAUCGAUCGUCAAAUUUGGGUAUAGGGGCGAAAGACUAAUCGAACC
RNAcentral lists this ribosomal RNA (2053 nucleotides) under uncultured fungus. RNAcentral describes it as "bacterial SSU rRNA". The stretch from base 1103 to 2053 matches the Rfam family "Eukaryotic large subunit ribosomal RNA", at positions 1 to 941 of the family's 3401-position model. Lineage: Eukaryota; Fungi. The record is from RNAcentral.